Molecule: ribosomal RNA, 577 nt
Filed under: uncultured bacterium
Lineage: Bacteria
Description: bacterial SSU rRNA
Rfam family: Bacterial small subunit ribosomal RNA
Source: RNAcentral
CCUACGGGAGGCAGCAGUGAGGAAUAUUGGUCAAUGGGCGCAAGCCUGAACCAGCCAUGCCGCGUGCAGGAUGAAGCAUCUAUGGGUGUGUAAACUGCUUUUGUACGGGAAGAAACCCUGCCACGUGUGGCAGAUUGACGGUACCGUAAGAAUAAGGAUCGGCUAACUCCGUGCCAGCAGCCGCGGUAAUACGGAGGAUCCAAGCGUUAUCCGGAAUCAUUGGGUUUAAAGGGUCCGUAGGCGGUUUUAUAAGUCAGUGGUGAAAUCCGGCAGCUCAACUGUCGAACUGCCAUUGAUACUGUAGGACUUGAAUUAUUGUGAAGUAACUAGAAUAUGUAGUGUAGCGGUGAAAUGCUUAGAUAUUACAUGGAAUACCCAUUGCGAAGGCAGGUUACUAACAAUAUAUUGACGCUGAUGGACGAAAGCGUGGGGAGCGAACAGGAUUAGAUACCCUGGUAGUCCACGCCGUAAACGAUGGAUACUAGCUGUUGGUUGUAAGACUGAGUGGCUAAGCGAAAGUGAUAAGUAUCCCACCUGGGGAGUACGGGNGCAGCCUGAAACUCAAAUGAAUUGACGG